UUUUUUUUUUCCGGUAGGUCGCCAGCUGAGGCGGUUUGUAAGUUUUGGGUCGCAGUAUGCUAGAAUUUUGAGGCUCCCUUCUGAUGAAAAUUGAGCUGUCCAUGCAGCCAUGGAACCCGGGUUACAGCAGUGAGGGGGCCACGGCUCAAGGCCGGGCGCAGUGGCUCACACCUGUAAUCCCAGCACUUUGGGAGGCCGAGGCGGGCGGAUCAUGAGAAACUUACACAUGUCCAAAAAUGAUUGAGAUGGAGCAGGCGGAGGCCCAGCUUGCUGAGUUAGACCUGCUAGCCAGUAUGUUCCCUGGUGAGAAUGAGCUCAUAGUGAAUGACCAGCUGGCUGUAGCAGAACUGAAAGAUUGUAUUGAAAAGAAGACAAUGGAGGGGCGAUCUUCAAAAGUCUACUUUACUAUCAAUAUGAACCUGGAUGUAUCUGACGAAAAAAUGGCGAUGUUUUCUCUGGCCUGUAUUCUUCCCUUUAAAUACCCGGCAGUUCUGCCUGAAAUUACUGUCAGAUCAGUAUUAUUGAGUAGAUCCCAGCAGACUCAGCUGAACACAGAUCUGACUGCAUUCCU
Molecule: unclassified non-coding RNA, 571 nt
Filed under: Homo sapiens (human)
Lineage: Eukaryota; Metazoa; Chordata; Mammalia; Primates; Hominidae
Description: RWD domain containing 2B (ENSG00000291523.1)
Source: RNAcentral